RNAcentral lists this ribosomal RNA (253 nucleotides) under uncultured bacterium. RNAcentral describes it as "partial 16S ribosomal RNA". It matches the Rfam family "Bacterial small subunit ribosomal RNA", at positions 524 to 776 of the family's 1533-position model. The record is from RNAcentral.
UACGUAGGGGGCAAGCGUUGUCCGGAUUUAUUGGGCGUAAAGAGCGUGUAGGCGGCCUGACAGGUCUGCUGUGAAAACUCGAGGCUCAACCUCGAGAUGUCGGCGGAAACCGUCUGGCUAGAGUCCGGAAGAGGAGAGUGGAAUUCCUGGUGUAGCGGUGAAAUGCGCAGAUAUCAGGAAGAACACCUAUGGCGAAGGCAGCUCUCUGGGACGGUACUGACGCUGAGGCGCGAAAGCUAGGGGAGCAAACGGG